This 433-nucleotide ribosomal RNA is filed under the name uncultured bacterium. RNAcentral's name for it is "partial 16S ribosomal RNA". It matches the Rfam family "Bacterial small subunit ribosomal RNA", at positions 29 to 507 of the family's 1533-position model. The record is from RNAcentral.
AACGAACGCUGGCGGCAGGCCUAACACAUGCAAGUCGAGCGAGGACUUCGGUCCUAGCGGCGGACGGGUGAGUAACGCGUGGGAACGUGCCCUUUGCUUCGGAAUAGCCCUGGGAAACUGGGAGUAAUACCGGAUGAGCCCUUUGGGGGAAAGAUUUAUCGGCGAAGGAUCGGCCCGGGUUGGAUUAGGUAGUUGGUGGGGUAAUGGCCUACCAAGCCGACGAUCCAUAGCUGGUUUGAGAGGAUGAUCAGCCACACUGGGACUGAGACACGGCCCAGACUCCUACGGGAGGAAGCAGUGGGGAAUCUUAGACAAUGGGGGAAACCCUGAUCUAGCCAUGCCGCGUGAGCGAUGAAGGCCUUAGGGUUGUAAAGCUCUUUCAGCUGGGAAGAUAAUGACGGUACCAGCAGAAGAAGCCCCGGCUAACUCCGUG